ACGGCUCAGUAACACGUGGAUAACCUACCCUUAGGACCGGGAUAACCUUGGGAAACUGAGGAUAAUACUGGAUAGGCAAUUAUUCCUGUAAUGGUUUUUUGUUUAAAUGUUUUUUUUCGCCUAAGGAUGGGUCUGCGGCCGAUUAGGUAGUUGGUUAGGUAAUGGCUUACCAAGCCGUUGAUCGGUACGGGUUGUGAGAGCAAGAGCCCGGAGAUGGAACCUGAGACAAGGUUCCAGGCCCUACGGGGUGCAGCAGGCGCGAAACCUCCGCAAUGUGAGAAAUCGCGACGGGGGGAUCCCAAGUGCCAUUCUUAACGGGAUGGCUUUUCAUUAGUGUAAAGAGCUUUUGGAAUAARAGCUGGGCAAGACCGGUGCCAGCCGCCGCGGUAACACCGGCAGCUCUAGUGGUAGCAAUUUUUAUUGGGCCUAAAGCGUCCGUAGCCGGUUUAAUAAGUCUCUGGUGAAAUCCUGUAGCUUAACUGUGGGAAUUGCUGGAGAUACUAUUAGACUUGAGACCGGGAGAGGUUAGAGGUACUCCCAGGGUAGAGGUGAAAUUCUGUAAUCCUGGGAGGACCGCCUGUUGCGAAGGCGUCUAACUGGAACGGUUCUGACGGUGAGGGACGAAAGUUAGGGGCGCGAACCGGAUUAGAUACCCGGGUAGUCCUAACUGUAAACGAUGCGGACUUGGUGUUGGGGUGGCUUUGAGCUGCUUCAGUGCCGAAGGGAAGCUGUUAAGUCCGCCGCCUGGGAAGUACGGUCGCAAGGCUGAAACUUAAAGGAAUUGGCGGGGGAGCAC
RNAcentral lists this ribosomal RNA (796 nucleotides) under uncultured archaeon. RNAcentral describes it as "bacterial SSU rRNA". It matches the Rfam family "Archaeal small subunit ribosomal RNA", at positions 85 to 879 of the family's 1478-position model. The record is from RNAcentral.